RNAcentral lists this long non-coding RNA (553 nucleotides) under Rattus norvegicus (Norway rat). RNAcentral describes it as "long non-coding RNA NONRATT031504". Lineage: Eukaryota; Metazoa; Chordata; Mammalia; Rodentia; Muridae. The record is from RNAcentral.
AAUUGACCCAAUAACAUGCCCCACUUACACAUCUCGUACCUGUGGUUUGUCUAGGGUCCUCAGGGAAGAUCCUAAAGUCCAUCAUGGCUGAAAAGUAGAAGUAUGCACAUCACUGCAAUGUGAAGGCUACUUUCAGCUGAUGGGACCCACACAGUCUGUGGACAAGUUUGCUUAAGUGAAAGGUGGCCGUCCUGGAACUCUGGCGGUUCUUUCAGGGUAAUGAAUGGUGACCAUAUGCAGAGCCAUUCCUGAAAGAGAUAAGUGCCAAAAUUCAACAAUAGGGAGAGAAUCCUGCACUGGAUGGAAUCACUUGGCCCAGUGUGGACACAAAGAUAUCCUAUGCCAUGGCAUGGAGGCUCCCAAGAACUUCUAGGAUGAAUGUGAGCCCCACAGGAGCCCACAGCCCAGCCUGGGAGAACAUUAAAGUAUCUGGAAUUAUCAGGGACCCUAAGGUUGAAGAGGCAGAGAAUGACCGCAGAGGUGACCAGUAUGUCCUCAGCCUGGACAACAAGUGUCUGCUCAAUCAUACAGACAGCUCACGACUAUCUCACCC